UGUGUCGUGUGUGUGUAGUGUGUGUGUAUGUGUGUUGUGUGUGUGUGUGUGUGUGUUUAUUAUAUAUGUAAUAAUAGUAUAUACUAUAAUAUAUAUCUUAUAUAUAUAUAUCUAAACACACAAACACACACACACACACACACACACACACACACACACACACCGACACACACACACACACAC
Penaeus monodon (black tiger shrimp) is the source of this 183-nucleotide small nucleolar RNA. RefSeq annotates it as small nucleolar RNA SNORA23. The record is from RefSeq and is a predicted model, not a curated record. The transcript has a single exon. Lineage: Eukaryota; Metazoa; Arthropoda; Malacostraca; Decapoda; Penaeidae.